Long non-coding RNA from Pseudoliparis swirei, 443 nucleotides. RefSeq lists it as uncharacterized. Lineage: Eukaryota; Metazoa; Chordata; Actinopteri; Perciformes; Liparidae. The record is from RefSeq and is a predicted model, not a curated record. The transcript is spliced from 3 exons.
UGUAACGAUACAUGGCACGCUGACCCAGCUCAGCAGCUCAGUUAAGAAAGUGAAGAGAGAAGAGAGAAAUUCAAGAAAGAGAAGAGAGAAACUUUCCGUGGUGUUUGCUGUCCUUAUACCAGUGUGGCUGAGCUCAUGGACCAAAGUCAUGUGGAAAUGAGUUGCUGAAAAAAGCAGAUGUAUUGGAGAAAGUCCAAGAAGCUACUACACAACAGACUGGUCAGUAUUCUUCAAGUGUCAAGCAAACUGAUCCUCACGCCUAAACAUUUCAUUCCGGUUUCAGAUUAAAUGAAUGCAGUCCGUGAAUGCAGGAAAGCGCAGCCGCAGCAACCCGGAGGGGACACCAUCCCGGGCCAGCAUUAAACGACCCAGAAGAGGGGAAAUCUAGUUCCUCCCUAACUAUCCCUGUGGUGAGAACAAGGACACACUGGAGACCAGAAGGA